GAUGAACGCUGGCGGCGUGCUUAACACAUGCAAGUCGAACGGAAAGGCCCUGCUUUUGUGGGGUGCUCGAGUGGCGAACGGGUGAGUAACACGUGAGUAACCUGCCCUUGACUUUGGGAUAACUCUAGGAAACUGGGGCUAAUACCGGAUAGGAGCUCCUGCUGCAUGGUGGGGGGUGGAAAGUUUCGGCGGUUGGGGAUGGUCUCGCGGCUUAUCAGCUUGUUGGUGGGGUAGUGGCUUACCAAGGCUUUGACGGGUAGCCGGCCUGAGAGGGUGACCGGCCACAUUGGGACUGAGAUACGGCCCAGACUCCUACGGGAGGCAGCAGUGGGGAAUAUUGCACAAUGGGCGGAAGCCUGAUGCAGCAACGCCGCGUGCGGGAUGACGGCCUUCGGGUUGUAAACCGCUUUCGCCUGUGACGAAGCGUGAGUGACGGUAAUGGGUAAAGAAGCACCGGCUAACUACGUG
This 468-nucleotide ribosomal RNA is filed under the name uncultured bacterium. Its description in RNAcentral is "partial 16S ribosomal RNA". It matches the Rfam family "Bacterial small subunit ribosomal RNA", at positions 28 to 507 of the family's 1533-position model. The record is from RNAcentral.